UACCAGACUCCUACGGGAGGCAGCAGUGGGGAAUAUUGCACAAUGGGGGAAACCCUGAUGCAGCAACGCCGCGUGAGUGAGGAAGUAUUUCGGUAUGUAAAGCUCUAUCAGCAGGGAAUAGAAAAGAAGGUACCUGAAAAAGAAGCCCCGGCUAACUACGUGCCAGCAGCCGCGGUAAUACGUAGGGGGCAAGCGUUAUCCGGAUUUACUGGGUGUAAAGGGGGCGCAGACGGCAGCGCAAGCCAGGAGUGAAAGCCCGGGGCCCAACCCCGGGACUGCUCUUGGAACUGCGCGGCUGGAGUGCAGGAGGGGCAGGCGGAAUUCCUAGUGUAGCGGUGAAAUGCGUAGAUAUUAGGAGGAACACCAGUGGCGAAGGCGGCCUGCUGGACGACAACUGACGGUGAGGCGCGAAAGCGUGGGGAGCAAACAGGAUUAGAUACCCCCGUAGU
Molecule: ribosomal RNA, 449 nt
Filed under: uncultured bacterium
Lineage: Bacteria
Description: bacterial SSU rRNA
Rfam family: Bacterial small subunit ribosomal RNA
Source: RNAcentral